RNAcentral lists this ribosomal RNA (422 nucleotides) under uncultured bacterium. Its description in RNAcentral is "bacterial SSU rRNA". It matches the Rfam family "Bacterial small subunit ribosomal RNA", at positions 207 to 622 of the family's 1533-position model. The record is from RNAcentral.
AAGACCUUGCACUUUUGGAGCGGCCGAUGUCUGAUUAGCUAGUUGGUGGGGUAAUGGCCUACCAAAGCUUCGAUCAGUAGCUGGUCUGAGAGGACGGCCAGCCACACUGGGACUGAGACACGGCCCAGACUCCUACGGGAGGCAGCAGUGGGAAUUUUGGACAAUGGGCGCAAGCCUGAUCCAGCCAUGCCGCGUGAGUGAAGAAGGCCUUCGGGUUGUAAAGCUCUUUCAGCCGGGAAGAAAAGGUUGCGACUAAUAAUCGCAAUUCAUGACGGUACCGAAAGAAGAAGCACCGGCUAACUACGUGCCAGCAGCCGCGGUAAUACGUAGGGUGCGAGCGUUAAUCGGAAUUACUGGGCGUAAAGGGUGCGCAGGCGGUUUUGUAAGUCAGAUGUGAAAUCCCCGGGCUUAACCUGGGAACU